GGGUUGUGAGGUUAAGCGACUAAGCGUACACGGUGGAUGCCCUGGCAGUCAGAGGCGAUGAAGGACGUGCUAAUCUGCGAAAAGCGUCGGUAAGGUGAUAUGAACCGUUAUAACCGGCGAUGUCCGAAUGGGGAAACCCAGUGUGAUUCGUCACACUAUCGUUAACUGAAUACAUAGGUUAACGAGGCGAACCGGGGGAACUGAAACAUCUAAGUACCCCGAGGAAAAGAAAUCAACCGAGAUUCCCCCAGUAGCGGCGAGCGAACGGGGAGCAGCCCAGAGUCUGAAUCAGCUUGUGUGUUAGUGGAACGGUCUGGAAAGUCCGACGGUACAGGGUGAUAGUCCCGUACACCAAAAUGCACAGGUUGUGAACUCGAAGAGUAGGGCGGGACACGUGGUAUCCUGUCUGAAUAUGGGGGGACCAUCCUCCAAGGCUAAAUACUCCUGACUGACCGAUAGUGAACCAGUACCGUGAGGGAAAGGCGAAAAGAACCCCGGCGAGGGGAGUGAAAAAGAACCUGAAACCGUGUACGUACAAGCAGUGGGAGCACCUUCGGGUGUGACUGCGUACCUUUUGUAUAAUGGGUCAGCGACUUAUAUUCUGUAGCAAGGUUAACCGUAUAGGGGAGCCGCAGGGAAACCGAGUCUUAACUGGGCGUUAAGUUGCAGGGUAUAGACCCGAAACCCGGUGAUCUAGCCAUGGGCAGGUU
RNAcentral lists this ribosomal RNA (710 nucleotides) under Klebsiella quasipneumoniae subsp. similipneumoniae. RNAcentral's name for it is "partial 23S ribosomal RNA". It matches the Rfam family "Bacterial large subunit ribosomal RNA", at positions 1 to 746 of the family's 2925-position model. The record is from RNAcentral. Lineage: Bacteria; Pseudomonadati; Pseudomonadota; Gammaproteobacteria; Enterobacterales; Enterobacteriaceae.